Molecule: ribosomal RNA, 253 nt
Filed under: uncultured bacterium
Lineage: Bacteria
Description: partial 16S ribosomal RNA
Rfam family: Bacterial small subunit ribosomal RNA
Source: RNAcentral
GACGGAGGAUGCGAGCGUUAUCCGGAAUUAUUGGGCGUAAAGCGUCCGUAGGCGGUUAUUCAAGUCUGCUGUCAAAGACUACAGCUCAACUGUGGAAAGGCAGUGGAAACUGAGGAACUGGAGUGCGGUAGGGGUAGAGGGAAGUCCCAGUGUAGCGGUGAAAUGCGUAGAUAUUGGGAAGAACACCAGUGGCGAAGGCGCUCUACUGGGCCGUAACUGACGCUGAGGGACGAAAGCUAGGGGAGCGAAAGGG